CAUGAACUAGGAACCGGGCCAAUAACCUWACCGGUGGCAARCAUUGAAUUGCCAAUGAAGGAACGUCGAGCAMGGACSCGSCKGACAGAUGAAGGUUCGAWUCGUAACCUYUUUAUAGGAGAUUKGRACUKWACCUAUGAAUAAGGCUGCUACUACGKGCAGCAGCAGCGGUAWUACGUAGGGCCCGAGSGUKUCCGGAUUUWUGGGCGUAAGCGKGCGCAGGCGAUUUUGUAAGACAGCGKGAAAUCCCCGGGCUUAACCUGGGAACUGCGUUUGUGACUGCAAGGCUAGAGUACGGCAGAGGGGGGUGGAAUUCCACGUGUAGCAGUGAAAUGCGUAGAGAUGUGGAGUAACACCAAUGGCGAAGGCAGCCCCUGGGUCGAUACUGACGCUCAUGCACGAAAGCGUGGGUAGCAAACAGGAUUAGAUACCCUGGUAGUGCACGCCCUAAACUAUGUCAACUAGGUGUUGGGUGGGUAAAACCAUUUAGUACCGUAGCUAACGCGUGAAGUUGACCGCCUGGGGAGUACGGCCGCAAGGUUAAAACUCAAAGGAAUUGACGGGGACCCGCACAAGCGGUGGAUGAUGUGGAUUAAUUCGAUGCAACGCGAAAAACCUUACCUACCCUUGACAUGCCAGGAACUUGCCAGAGAUGGCUUGGUGCCCGAAAGGGAGCCUGGACACAGGUGCUGCAUGGCUGUCGUCAGCUYGUGUCGUGAGAUGUUGGGUUAAGUCCCGCAACGAGCGCAACCCUUGUCGUUAUUGCACRUCAUUUARUUGGGCAMUUUAAMGRGAYUKCCSGKGMCAAACCGGAGGAAGGKGGGGAYGACGUCAAGUCMUCAUGGCCMUUAUGGGUAGGGYUUCACACGUCAUACAAUGGUCGGUACAAAGGGUKGSCAAGCCGSGAGGCGGAGCCAAUYCCAGAAAGCCGAUYGUAGUCCGGAUUGCAGGCUGCAACUCGCMUGCAUGAAGUCGGAAUCGCUAGUAAUCGUGGAUCAGCAUGUCACGGUGAAUACGUUCCCGGGUCUUGUACACACCGCCCGUCACACCAUGGGAGCGGGUUCCGCCAGAAGUAGGUAGCCUAACYGCAAGGGGGGCGMUUUMCACGGCGGGGUUCGUKACKGGGGUGAAGUSGUAACAAGGUAWCSGU
RNAcentral lists this ribosomal RNA (1150 nucleotides) under uncultured bacterium. RNAcentral describes it as "partial 16S ribosomal RNA". It matches the Rfam family "Bacterial small subunit ribosomal RNA", at positions 311 to 1503 of the family's 1533-position model. The record is from RNAcentral.